This 164-nucleotide small nuclear RNA is filed under the name Neotoma lepida (desert woodrat). RNAcentral's name for it is "U1 spliceosomal RNA". It matches the Rfam family "U1 spliceosomal RNA". From Rfam's summary of the family: U1 is a small nuclear RNA (snRNA) component of the spliceosome (involved in pre-mRNA splicing). The record is from Rfam by way of RNAcentral. Lineage: Eukaryota; Metazoa; Chordata; Mammalia; Rodentia; Cricetidae.
AUACUUACCUGGCAGGGGUGAUACAGUGAUCAUGAAGGUGUUUUUUCCAGGGCAAGGUUUAUCCACUGUACUCUGGAUGUGCUGAACCCUGUGAUUUCCCCAAAUUUGGGAAAUUCAACUGCAUAAUUUGUGGUAGUCGGGGCCUGUGUUCACUUUCUUCCUUU